This is a long non-coding RNA of Aegilops tauschii subsp. strangulata, 895 nucleotides long. RefSeq lists it as uncharacterized. NCBI's taxonomy places the organism in Eukaryota, Viridiplantae, Streptophyta, Magnoliopsida, Poales, Poaceae. The record is from RefSeq and is a predicted model, not a curated record.
UUGCAACCGGCAUAUAUGCUAGUUUAAGCCUAAAAAAACUCCACGUCCCAGCAAAAGCCCUCUUUUGCCCACCGCGCAGCAACCGCAACAAACCCUAGCGCCGCCCCCCUUCCCCCAACACAGAAGAUUCUUCCUGCGUGAUGGCGCUGCGCUCUCCCUCCAGCACUCGUCGGCAGGAUUGGCCGCCCGCGGACUCUCCGCCUCCCACCUAUCAGUCUUACCAGGGUGGAUCCAGCAAUGGAGCUGAAUCUGAUUGCUAGGAAGACGAAACAGGAGGUUAAUCAUUUGUUGGCAAAAUUAGAAAAAAAAGGAGUGGAGAUAGAUGGCAAGGUAGCUAGUAUUAUUGGCGAUGGGAUAACUAGAAUUAAAGUUGAAGCUGCGUGGGAGGACUUCGAUGAAUCAAACACGAAGCUGAUGGCAGCACUGCUCACUGCUGCAUCUAUGGCUGUUGGUUUCAUCAUGGGUUUAGACUGGCGAGAAAAUUGCUUCCGUAAGCAGUUUGACAAGAGGAGACAUACUUAGUUAAAUAGCAUAAGGCUUACGGGUGCAUUCUGUUUAUGGUAUGUAAAACCAAGUAGGUAAUCUUAGGAAAACACUGUUGGCUAAUUAUGAUGCGCAAAACCUAAGUUUUCUGUUUCAUGCUAUAAUGUGGUUUUGGCAUGUGCAAUGUAACUCUUGUUUGGUAACACCACAAGCUGCGUGGAGCAGGUGCCCCGUUAGGUACUGCAGGUUAAUUAGUGUUUGAUAAUCAAAGCAGGUGUGUGCGGUGAUUAUCUGUGGAUAUGGCAAUCAGAUGAUGGUCUAGGAUUUGUGGCUUCACUUGCAUAAAUAAAUUGUUUACAGAAAACAUACAUUGUCACUGUUAUCAUAUAUUGGAAACAGUAAUUGCCUGCUU